GGGGGUCUGGGGGGGGCGUCAGUAGGGGUGGGGUCCCCAAAUAUUGGGGUCUGGGGGGGUCAGUGGGGGUGGGGUCCCCAAAUACUGGGGUCUGGGGGGGUCAGUGGGGGUGGGGAUCCCCAAAUAUGGGGGUCUGGGGGUUUGUAGGGGAGCUUUGGGGUCGAGACCCCCAAUAUGGGGUUGUGGGGGUGCUGUGAGUGGCUUGCUCUUUGGGGGCAUGGCCUUGUUUCACGCUCAUCUCAUGUUUCUGUUGGGGUGGGGGGGCCUGAGAGUAUGGGGGCGUGGCCUAUCUCAGCCCCCCACCCUUUUCAACCCCCCCUGCCCCUUUCCAGGCUCGGAUCAAGAAGAUCAUGCAGACGGAUGAGGAGAUUGGGAAGGUGGCGGCCGCCGUCCCCGUCAUCAUCUCGCGGGCCUUGGAGCUGUUCCUGGAAUCCCUGCUGCGUAAAGCCUGCCACGUCACCCAGUCCCGCAACGCCAAGACCAUGACCACCUCCCACCUGAAGCAGUGCAUCGAACUGGAGCAGCAGUUCGAUUUCCUGAAGGAUUUGGUGGCCGCCGUCCCCGAUAUGCAGGGGGAGGGGGACGAGCCCCAC
This 593-nucleotide long non-coding RNA is filed under the name Phasianus colchicus (ring-necked pheasant). Its description in RNAcentral is "lncRNA (ENSPCLG00000016831.1)". Lineage: Eukaryota; Metazoa; Chordata; Aves; Galliformes; Phasianidae. The record is from RNAcentral.